Molecule: ribosomal RNA, 301 nt
Filed under: uncultured bacterium
Lineage: Bacteria
Description: partial 16S ribosomal RNA
Rfam family: Bacterial small subunit ribosomal RNA
Source: RNAcentral
CAGUCGCCGCGGUAAGACAGAGGAUGCAAGCGUUAUCCGGAAUGAUUGGGCGUAAAGCGUCAGUAGGUGGCUUUUCAAGUCCGCCGUCAAAUCCCAGGGCUCAACCCUGGACAGGCGGUGGAAACUACCAAGCUAGAGUACGGUAGGGGCAGAGGGAAUUUCCGGUGGAGCGGUGAAAUGCGUUGAGAUCGAAAAGAACACCAACGACGAAAGCACUCUGCUGGGCCGACACUGACACUGAGAGACGAAAGCUAGGGGAGCAAAUGGGAUUAGAGACCCCUGUAGUCCCUGUCUCUUAUAC